Manis javanica (Malayan pangolin) is the source of this 2165-nucleotide non-coding RNA. The record is from RefSeq and is a predicted model, not a curated record. NCBI's taxonomy places the organism in Eukaryota, Metazoa, Chordata, Mammalia, Pholidota, Manidae.
UUUUCUUAAAGAAAAGUUGAGCUUCUGUAAGCCAGUACAAGACUAAAAAGCAUCGUAAUGGAUCAGGGGCAUCAGUGACGGAGCAGCGUGGUGAAUGUCGUUCUCCGCCGUUCCACCUACCUACGGCUACACCACCAUGCUCUCCACGGCCAGAGGCCGUCCCAAAGCUGUCACCUGGCCAGUGUGGUGUGUCCAGUUCCUGGCUGGGCUGAGCAGAGGGCUCUGUGUUGCUAGCAUUGCAUUCGUACAAGGAAUUGUCUGCAAGACUGCAUAAAGCAGUUGGGCAGAAUGUCAGAAUUGGCACUUAACUGUCUUGCAAACAUGUCCACAGACUAGCAGCCUUAGCAUCACCAGCAAAAUGGUGGCAGUGAGGUCAGGAGCGGGAGGCCAACAGUGGGCUGGGGCUCUGUGGGUGAAGGGACACUGGUGCCUGCUGCCCAUAGGACAGAGGGCUGUGCUCAGAGCCCUGGUCUGAGGGCAGGGUUCUGCUCUAGGAUCCCAGGAAGGGUGUUAACAGGGAGGGAACACGUCCAUUAUGAACUGUCCUCAUGCCAGGAGAGUCCAGGAAGUCAAGACAUGAAAGUAUGAGCGUGAGUUGCAACGGUAACCAGCGCCUGGCCUUUGGGCAUUCAGGUGGAGAGGCAGCCGGCACAAAGGCAUGGGGCUGGAAGGGGCCAGAGACAGCAACUUCAGGGGUCUGCCUGCUGCCCACAGGGGGAAGCCCGUUUGUGUGGCCGGCCCAGACCUGCCUGGCCAGGCUGGACUGCACUUCCCUUGGGUCCCAUCCUUGGUGCAAAGGGGCUUGUUGUGUGCAGGUUGGAGGCCACCAAGGAAGCUGAGCACAUGACCCCCUUGGGCUUCUCUGCAUGUGGUCCUGCAGGCUUUGUGGGUGGGUGUAGACCAGAUUCGGGUAAGGGGCAGCACCCGCCUCCCUGCCAUGCACACAGGCCUGACCACAGGGAGCAGUGGGGUCUGACUGGCAUGGAUGGUGACCCUGAUGGCAACAGCCCCUGGCACCGGGUGCUCGGUGCAGGCAUGCAGGCACUGGGCUGAGUACUACCCUGAAGCCAGCAUGGCAGGCCCCAGAUGGACACAGCACGGCCAUGGUGGUGGGUCUGGAUCUGAACUCGGGGCCCAGGUUGCACAGAUGACAGAGCAGGUGAGUCCAGGUGCAGGGGCCACUUGCACACCCCGGAGCUUGACCUUGAUACUCUAGCAGGCGCAGUGUCGUCGGAGUUGUGAGAGGGAAAGAAACGAGCCGAUGGAGCUUGGUGUCGUCUGGGCCUGGGGCUGCUUGAGGCUCGCCUCCCGCCUGGCCGCUUCCCCUCCACAUGUGGUGCCACCCAAGGCAGAGCCCCUGAGCUGCGUGUCUGGGGCAGGGGCAGUCAUGCCGAGCAGGGCCUGGGCAGCGGGCUGGCCGAGGUCACGUGUGGCCAGUGGACCUGGCUCGGGCUUUGAAGCACGGAGCUGGCAGGCUUGGCUGCGUGUCCCCAGCAGGCCUCUGCGGCCACUCCAGCACUCGCCCCCAGGCGGCGUCCUGUUCCUCUUCACUCCGCUGCUGGUUAAAGGCACAGUGAGGAACCGAAACCCGUGAUUUCUCCAGAGAUCGCCAGCGGUGUCUGGCCUGCACCUUGGGGUCAGAGGUUCAGCUCAUCUCCUCUUAAUGGUGUCAACUGGGCUUUCACCAGAGGAUCGCCAUCUGAGAGAGACCGCCCCUCCCGCGUAACCAACGCGUGCUCCCCAGCAAGUCUCAAGAGUCCAGCCGACGCCACCGAUGAAAAGCGCCGCCCAGUCGCCUGCGCCAUGGUUUGGAUGGCCGGAGGGGCCCCUUCAAGGGCCGCUGCUCGUCCUGAGGACACUUGACUGCUCGGACGUGCUGAGUGUGGUCCCCGCAGUCGUGACACUCCAGCCAGAAGCAGCAGAGGAGCCCCUUGAUCUCUGAUGAAAGACAGACACCUCCGCGGUAAACCAAGGGGAUUUGCUUGGACAGGGUGAUUCCACCUGACCUCACAGGUUGUCUUUUUUAGCGGGUAAAUAACGUCAGUUCAGUGCCAUUCAACCAGCUGCCUCCAAACAGAAGGGCUGUAAGCCACUACUACAUGAUAAUUGUUUCAAUAUAAACAAAUGUUCUAAAAAAUUAAAAUGUGACAUUUAUUUUAACAUAA